GUGUCAGCCGCCGCGGUAAUACGGAGGGUGCGAGCGUUGUCCGGAAUCACUGGGCGUAAAGGGCGCGUAGGCGGUGGGGUAAGCGUGUGGUGAAAGUCCGGGGCUCAACCCCGGAUCGGCCGUGCGAACUGCUUCACUUGAGCACUGUAGAGGCAGGUGGAAUUCCGGGUGUAGCGGUGGAAUGCGUAGAGAUCCGGAAGAACACCAGUGGCGAAGGCGGCCUGCUGGGCAGUGGCUGACGCUGAGGCGCGACAGCGUGGGGAGCAAACAGGAUUAGAUACCCCGGUAGUCC
RNAcentral lists this ribosomal RNA (292 nucleotides) under uncultured bacterium. RNAcentral's name for it is "partial 16S ribosomal RNA". It matches the Rfam family "Bacterial small subunit ribosomal RNA", at positions 505 to 796 of the family's 1533-position model. The record is from RNAcentral.